UUUCCGUAGGUGAACCUGCGGAAGGAUCAUUACUGAAGUGAGUCUUCAUCAUUGAAGCUUCUUCCCAUUGUGCUGGCUUUGACCGUAUGUAAUGUUGGGAAUUAAACAUGGCUGAAAUUUAUUUUAGCCGUCCCCAACAAUUUAUCUUAUCCUUUAUUAAAUUGAACUGAACUCAUUUUGAGAUUACAUAAAAAAUAAUCUUUUAAUACAACUUUCAACAACGGAUCUCUUGGUUCUG
RNAcentral lists this unclassified non-coding RNA (238 nucleotides) under plant metagenome. RNAcentral describes it as "partial contains small subunit ribosomal RNA, internal transcribed spacer 1, and 5.8S ribosomal RNA". The record is from RNAcentral.